This 450-nucleotide ribosomal RNA is filed under the name uncultured bacterium. Its description in RNAcentral is "partial 16S ribosomal RNA". It matches the Rfam family "Bacterial small subunit ribosomal RNA", at positions 354 to 796 of the family's 1533-position model. The record is from RNAcentral.
GUGGGGAAUAUUGGACAAUGGGCGAAAGCCUGAUCCAGCCAUGCCGCGUGUGUGAAGAAGGUCUUCGGAUUGUAAAGCACUUUAAGUUGGGAGGAAGGGCAGUAAGUUAAUACCUUGCUGUUUUGACGUUACCAACAGAAUAAGCACCGGCUAACUUCGUGCCAGCAGCCGCGGUAAUACGAAGGGUGCAAGCGUUAAUCGGAAUUACUGGGCGUAAAGCGCGCGUAGGUGGUUCAGCAAGUUGGAGGUGAAAUCCCCGGGCUCAACCUGGGAACUGCCUACAAAACUACUGAGCUAGAGUACGGUAGAGGGUAGUGGAAUUUCCUGUGUAGCGGUGAAAUGCGUAGAUAUAGGAAGGAACACCAGUGGCGAAGGCGACUACCUGGACUGAUACUGACACUGAGGUGCGAAAGCGUGGGGAGCAAACAGGAUUAGAAACCCCGGUAGUCC